Bos taurus (domestic cattle) is the source of this 819-nucleotide long non-coding RNA. Lineage: Eukaryota; Metazoa; Chordata; Mammalia; Artiodactyla; Bovidae. The record is from Ensembl.
GCCCUCAGAUUUCUGGGGAUGGAGGGUAUGGGUGCUUACCAACUCACAUGUUUGUGAGCUCAAUUUCUUUUGCCUUUUAAUUUAUUUUUGGCUGCGCUGGAUCUUUGUUGCUGUGUGAGGGCUUUCUCUAGUUGUGGUGAGCAGGGGCUGCUCUCUAGGUGCAGUGCUCAGGCUUCUCGCUGUGGUGGCUUCCCUUGUUGGGGAGUAAGGGUUCUAGGUGUGUGGGCUCUGCAAUUGCUUGUGAGCCCAAUUUCUUUGAAAAUCAGGUGUCCAGCCACUGUGAGCUCAAGCUGGCCAUGCUUACCAGUGGAGGGACAUACCACCUAGAGCAAGCCACUCAGCCAGAGAUCUGCAAUGGUGCAGCCACUUUGAGACCUCCUGGCCUGUAACUGCUGGCAUGAGCUCUCCCUGAAGUGUCAAGGACAUCCUAAAUUCCUAAAAUUCAAAGACCAAAUCUGGUGCCAAAUUUUUGUGCUGAGAAAUUUCUAGCUUGGGUUUGGGGAACACGGGUGGUUUCCUGGGUUCAACAAAUAAUCAAGAUUCUCUCCAGGAAGUCAUCACUGAUACCCAGGUCAGAGACUGGUGUAGGAUGCAGCACAGUAGGAACUCAGCUACAAGCCAUUGCCAAGAUCAGGAUCAUUUUACAAGAAUUACAAGAGAAAAGAGGCGGAAGUAGAGAAAGGGAGGCAGCGUUGAUCCACACUCCAACAUUACAAAGUCAGAGGGACUUCUGAUACACACCUGGGAGAACAGCCAGGACCAGCACACGAAUCUAAGACUUAGGAUCUGGUUCAGCCACUCACCGGCUCUGUGCCUGGG